AAGAGACGUUGCCCUUCGGGGUAUACCUCCCACCCUUUGUUUGUUAUACCUUUGUUGCUUUGGCGGGCCCGUCCUCGGACCACCGGCUUCUGCUGGUCAGUGCCCGCCAGAGGACCUAAAACUCUGUUUGUUAAUAUUGUCUGAGUACUAUAUAAUAGUUA
Molecule: unclassified non-coding RNA, 161 nt
Filed under: soil metagenome
Description: partial internal transcribed spacer 1
Source: RNAcentral